RNAcentral lists this long non-coding RNA (1021 nucleotides) under Lynx pardinus (Iberian lynx). Lineage: Eukaryota; Metazoa; Chordata; Mammalia; Carnivora; Felidae. The record is from RNAcentral.
GCUCUCCUCUCCUGCUAAGCUUUGUUUCCUGGCAGUAAUUAAAACCUUCUGCCACUGCCAUAGCUACUGCUGCUCCUGGAACCACCAUACCCACCUUGGUUUCAUGGUUUGCCAAAACAUUGGCCUCUACCACCAUAGAGGACGGUUUCUGCCUCUGAAAUUUUCUUCUUUCAUGGGCCCAAUAUUUGAAGAUUGAUUGUUGUAAUUGCCAAAAUAAUUAUAGCUUCCACCACCUCCAAAGUUGCUUCCAUCAUUACCAUAUCUAUUAUAGCCAUCCCCACUGCCACCAUAUCCACCACCACACUGACUGCCACCAAAGCCACCUUGCCCUCUAAAGUUUCCUCUACGACCAAAGUUGUCAUUUGCACCAAAACCACCUCCACGACCACCACCAAAGUUUCCAGAACCACUUCAACAUCUUUGCUUGAAGCACUAGCCAUCUGUUGCUUAGAUAGAGCUCUGCUUACUUCACAGUAUGACAAUCUUGUCCAAAGUCAUGUUCAUCAAGUGUUAUAAAAGCAAGCCCUCUCUUUUUGCCACUGCCUCAGUCUGUCAUGAUUUCAAUCACUUCAAUUUUCCCAUAAUGUUCAAAAUAUUCUCUUAGAUGAUGUUCUUCAGUACCUUCUUUAAUGCCACCAACAAAACUCUUUUUCACAGUUAAGUGGGCACCAUGUCUUUGAGAAUCUUCUCUUGAAACAGCCCUCUUUGGUGCCACAAUUCUUCCAUCCACCUUGUGUGGCCUUGCAUUCAUGGCUGCAUCCAUCUCUUCCACAGUGGCAUUCGUGACAAACCUAAAACCUCUGGAGAGCUUGGUGUUUGGAUCUCAUUACCACACAGUCUGUGAGUGUUGCCCAUUUCUCAAAAUGGCUCCUCAGACCCUCAUUGGUUGUUUCAAGGCUCAAACCUCCAAUGAAAAUCUUCCACAGUUGUUCAGGCUCUUUGGGAGACUCUGACUUAGACAUGAGCGGGUGGGAGGGGAGGCUUUAACAAUGCUUACUUGGCGGUAUCCAUGGGCAGAAAG